UAGGGUGAGGCGGUCCUGUGUGCGCUCGGGGUGGGGAACGUCCUCAGAGGACGAGUCCACGGGAUGAGCUGGGACCGAUGCCCAGCAAGGACUCACAGGUGCCCCCAACUCACCCUGUGGCUUCGUUCCUCAGAUGUGGUCAAACCUGGACACUGUCCAGAGUUCCCACUCCGCUGCCCUUUCACGAUGAUACCGCUGUGCCGGCGCGAUAGAAUCUGCAAGAAGGACAAGAAGUGUUGUUUCUACAACUGUAGAUAUCAGUGUUUAGUGCGGUGGGAGAGUCUGGAUUGAGGUAGAAAUCCCUUCUUACCGGGGCCUGAGAAGACACUGGUAGAACAGGCUCCGACUCGGAUAACUGGUCUCCAAUUCUUCCCUGUUCUCCUCACCCCCCAGACUUCCUUUAUCAGAGUUCAAUGCUUAUUACUAUGAAAGCAACACAAAGAAAUAAAGUGCUAUCUACCUGA
This is a long non-coding RNA of Myotis lucifugus (little brown bat), 464 nucleotides long. RefSeq lists it as uncharacterized. The transcript has 2 exons. Lineage: Eukaryota; Metazoa; Chordata; Mammalia; Chiroptera; Vespertilionidae. The record is from RefSeq and is a predicted model, not a curated record.